CGGGUGAGUAACACGUGGAUAACCUACCUAUAAGACUGGGAUAACUUCGGGAAACCGGAGCUAAUACCGGAUAAUAUAUUGAACCGCAUGGCUCAAUAGUGAAAGACGGUUUUGCUGUCACUUAUAGAUGGAUCCGCGCCGCAUUAGCUAGUUGGUAAGGUAACGGCUUACCAAGGCAACGAUGCGUAGCCGACCUGAGAGGGUGAUCGGCCACACUGGAACUGAGACACGGUCCAGACUCCUACGGGAGGCAGCAGCC
This 259-nucleotide ribosomal RNA is filed under the name uncultured Staphylococcus sp. RNAcentral describes it as "partial 16S ribosomal RNA". It matches the Rfam family "Bacterial small subunit ribosomal RNA", at positions 103 to 355 of the family's 1533-position model. Lineage: Bacteria; Bacillati; Bacillota; Bacilli; Caryophanales; Staphylococcaceae. The record is from RNAcentral.